This 48-nucleotide small RNA is filed under the name Arabidopsis thaliana (thale cress). RNAcentral's name for it is "ATSL003540". The record is from RNAcentral. Lineage: Eukaryota; Viridiplantae; Streptophyta; Magnoliopsida; Brassicales; Brassicaceae.
UUAGAUGGCCAAGAGUUCUAACGCCAAGUCUUCUUUCUCAAAUCCUAA